UACAUAAAACUGUACUUUGGUGAUGUCUCACCCUAUAACUCCCUCUCUGGCCUAACCUAUUUUUACAUUUAAACAAAGUGUUUCAAGAAAUCCCCUUUCGGUAGUUAUGUAAAACAAGCCUGGAUGUUUUAUUUUAUAUUGUGAUACUGUGAUCUUUUUGAUAUCCCAGACUUACAAACAGAUAAAGUGAACCAAAUUUAGCAACUUAGCGAGUGUAAACUGAGACACACAUUCAGACUUAGAGGUGACAGUCUACAAAACUUCAUUAAAAAAACUAAGAAGAAAAUGACAACAAAAGCAACAAAAAAGAAAUCCACCUGCUAACAAAUGGAAAAACACUGAUGCCUAAAUAUAACUUAACUCACCUUGGAUGGCGUGUAGGAGAAAGACAGUUCACCACCUCAUCGAAUUAAAAUCCAUUGGUUUUGAUGCCAUCUGGAGUUUAGCGGAGUGGAGGUGGAUCACAUCAGUCUGACACGGAAAUGACAGCUGACAGCAGCCAAACAAGGAACAGUUGCAUAGUUUGACAACAAGAUGGCUCACAGAGGUGGCGUUGAGGGGCAAAUACGUACGUGUCACCCAGCUCCCAGCUGCGUGGACGGACCUCAGCCCUGUGAUGCUGUCGGCGGCGCUGAUAACCACAAUCACUCUGCUCACGUACCAUGAUUAGCGCGGGGACAAGAUGUCAUGUCACUCUGCUCGCGCUGAGGAGCCGAUGCUGUCGACGAGCCGCGUCCACACACCCAGAGGUCUCACGCAUGCGAGCUGAUGCUCUGCACCAUCGGCUUUAAGCAAACAAAAGUCACACUUGGCAUCAAGCUGCAUUAUCUCACAAAAACAAAGACGGUCAAACCCAAAGUUGUUCCAAAAACCAGCUGGUGAGAAAAGUACAGUAUCUUACAGUCACUUCCAGGAAGAUAAAUAGAAUUGAUGUAUUAAUAACCUAAAUGUGUGAUCACUGUUUGACAUUUAAUUCACAUAGGCUUGUAAAUGUUACCAUGGCACCUGGAUCAGUUGGACUCUAGCUAUAAAUUCCACUGAGGGUAAUUCUCUACCUAAUUAUAUGCAGAGCAGAGAUGGGUUUAAAACAACCUGUAGUUACUGAACCGUUAUCUUCUUACUCGAUGAUUUAGACAUUCUCAUAAUAUGUCUGGCACAUUGUCAGUGUUUCCAGAGUCCUAUUGCCUUGAUUGCACUCACACACUGAUGCCAUCUCAGCAGCAGCAGGAAUAUUUGACUCCAUCUCAUCAGCGGCGGCUUCACGUGUGCGUAAAGGAGACCGUGUCUCCUGUCCCAGGUAAUGACCCGGUGAUAUUUAGAAAUGCCAGCACAUUACUUAAAGGUUCAGGUGCACAAUAGACAGGAUGCUGUAACCUCCACGGUGUUGUUUAUUCCCCCGCACGCUCUGUGGUGUUUGGCCUUAAAUCUUCCAUCAGGUGCAGCCUGACCCGCGUGUUCAGACAGUUGGAGAGGUUGACAGUAACUGGGAGCCGUGCCAUGACGCUGCCCGCUCUGAGAUAGCUCCUGCCUUAUCUCCAACCUGCUGACACAUCUACAGCAAGGCAUUCAUUUAAUCCCAUCUGUGGCCACAUAAACAUGAACUCCACCGUAAAGAACAUGAUAUACUGACACGAAGAAAUGCCAAUUAUUCAUGUAGUGGAAAUACCUUGUCGACUUUUCACACGAACACACACACACACACACACACACACACACACUCGCAAGCACGUAAAGGCCAAAGAACAUGACAGAAAGAAACUGAGAAAUGAUUAUUGGCCCAGUGUUUAGAAUGCAGCCUGUCUCUGCGCAGGUCAGGCUCAGCCAGAUGCUCAUGAAUACAGUUGUAAGACCUCCAUGGGAAGUUGUUUGCGAUGAAGUUUUGCACAGCUCAAGGUCACUUCCUGUUAAGUUUCCCUUGGUCACAUACUUGCUGUCAAGCUACUGCUUACCUCGCUGACCCCCCUGUUCUGGCUGCGGCAAACAAACAUGACACUGACUGUGUUUCAUUUUUUAUUCCAUUGAAUCGGCAUUUUUGUUCUACUCUGGGCCACUUUACUUUCCUAAAUACUUUACCGUCCUUGGAUUUUUGUCCACUAAUAGAGGUGGUGGAAGCACAUCCCAUUUGUUCAAAAUGUGACUCAUACAUAGGGUUUUUUUCAGAAAACAAAUAUGUUCAGUAUUAAAUUUGAUUAAAGUGCAGAGGAGAGUUCAAACGGCUUCAAAAACUUUAUAUCUGAACCUUCUAAUAACCUUAAAACCUUCCCAAAAGUUGACUUUUUAAUAGCGGCAACGAAAAGGCUACUUGAACGGCUCCAUCAAUAAAAUGAUCACAAACACAUAACGUGGAAAUAAUUGUACCCUUAAAGUCUAUAAACAGAAUCGCACAUUCCCACAUCAGUCGCUCAAGCAGCUAUGAUCCGUCAGCUGCAGCAUGAAACCACCAGCAGCAUGAGUGCGUUCAUAAAUGGGUAAAAGAGGAGAAAACCGUUUAAAAGGCUCAAUGUACAGAUCUCAGGUGAAACAGAGAGGGUCAUUUUAUCUCAUUGGAAAUAGCACCGGCUCAAAAUAGAUGAGAAUAGAUGCUUUUGUGGAUCAGUAGUAAUUAGCAACGAAGUUUUUCCAAGCCGUAAUUAACCUGUGUCCGCUCUCAUCCUUCAUCCUCGCUGAAAGUUCUGUACAAUAAGAGUUUCACAAGUAAAACGGCAGAGGAUGGCGACCACAAGUAGGAGAACUACUUGUGAUCAUUAGAAUGAGAACAGCUGCUUACGACAAAAUAAACACAUUAACACCAAUGCUCCACAGUGUGCAAUCACAGGCCCAAA
Betta splendens (Siamese fighting fish) is the source of this 2822-nucleotide long non-coding RNA. RefSeq lists it as uncharacterized. The transcript has 3 exons. Lineage: Eukaryota; Metazoa; Chordata; Actinopteri; Anabantiformes; Osphronemidae. The record is from RefSeq and is a predicted model, not a curated record.